AGUUUUGCAUAUCAAUAAGCGGAGGAAAAGAAACCAACAGGGAUUGCCCUAGUAACGGCGAGUGAAGCGGCAACAGCUCAAAUUUGAAAGCUGGCCUUCGGGUCCGCAUUGUAAUUUGUAGAGGAUGCUUUGGGUGAAACGCCAGUCUAAGUUCCUUGGAACAGGACGUCAUAGAGGGUGAGAAUCCCGUAUGUGACUGGAAAUGUUAACCUAUGUAAAGCUCCUUCGACGAGUCGAGUUGUUUGGGAAUGCAGCUCUAAAUGGGAGGUAAAUUUCUUCUAAAGCUAAAUAUUGGCGAGAGACCGAUAGCGCACAAGUAGAGUGAUCGAAAGAUGAAAAGCACUUUGGAAAGAGAGUUAAAAAGCACGUGAAAUUGUUGAAAGGGAAGCGCUUGCAAUCAGACUUGUUUAAACUGUUCGGCCGGUCUUCUGACCGGUUUACUCAGUUUGGACAGGCCAGCAUCAGUUUCGGCGGCCGGAUAAAGGCUCUGGGAAUGUGGCCUUCACUUCGGUGAAGGUGUUAUAGCCCGGGGUGUAAUACGGCCAGCCGGGACUGAGGUCCGCGCUCGGCUAGGAUGCUGCGUAGCCUGAAG
This 592-nucleotide ribosomal RNA is filed under the name Aureobasidium sp. D2-15. Its description in RNAcentral is "eukaryotic LSU rRNA". It matches the Rfam family "Eukaryotic large subunit ribosomal RNA", at positions 32 to 639 of the family's 3401-position model. The record is from RNAcentral. Lineage: Eukaryota; Fungi; Ascomycota; Dothideomycetes; Dothideales; Saccotheciaceae.